RNAcentral lists this ribosomal RNA (253 nucleotides) under uncultured bacterium. Its description in RNAcentral is "partial 16S ribosomal RNA". It matches the Rfam family "Bacterial small subunit ribosomal RNA", at positions 524 to 776 of the family's 1533-position model. The record is from RNAcentral.
GACAGAGGGUGCAAACGUUGCUCGGAAUCACUGGGCGUAAAGGGCGUGUAGGCGGGAAGGUAAGUCGGGCGUGAAAGCCCCGGGCUUAACUUGGGAAUUGCGCUCGAAUCUACGUGGCUCGAGUGUGGCAGAGGAAGGUGGAAUUCCACGUGUAGCGGUGAAAUGCGUAGAGAUGUGGAGGAACACCGGUGGCGAAGGCGGCAUACUGGACCACUUCUGACGCUGAGGCGCGAAAGCCAGGGGAGCGAACGGG